GUCGGGCACUGUGGCUCGUACCUGUAAUCCCAGCACUUUGGGAGGCCAAGAUGGGUGGAUCACCUGAGGUCAGGAGUUCCAGACCAGCCUGGCCAACAUGGUGAAACCCUGUCUCUACUAAAAAUANNNNNNNNNNUAUUUUUAGUAGAGACAGGGUUUCACCAUGUUGGCCAGGCUGGUCUGGAACUCCUGACCUCAGGUGAUCCGCCCACCUC
This 215-nucleotide signal recognition particle RNA is filed under the name Chlorocebus sabaeus (green monkey). RNAcentral describes it as "Metazoan signal recognition particle RNA". It matches the Rfam family "Metazoan signal recognition particle RNA". Rfam says of the family: The signal recognition particle (SRP) is a universally conserved ribonucleoprotein. It is involved in the co-translational targeting of proteins to membranes. The record is from Rfam by way of RNAcentral. Lineage: Eukaryota; Metazoa; Chordata; Mammalia; Primates; Cercopithecidae.